GAGACUCUGUGCGCGUGCAUAUCAAUAAGCGGAGGAAAAGAAACUAACAAGGAUUCCCUUAGUAACGGCGAGUGAAGCGGGAAGAGCUCAAAUUUGAAAUCUUCAAGGUUCUACCUUGACGAAUUGUAGUUUAUAGAAGUGUUUUCUGUUGGAGUUUCGGUAAAAGUUCUUUGGAAUAGGACAUCAUAGAGGGUGAGAAUCCCGUAUUUGACCGUUACUUUCCAGCUGUGUGAUACACUUUCAAAGAGUCGGAUUGUUUGGGAAUGCAGUCCAAGAUGGGUGGUAAAUUUCAUCUAAAGCUAAAUAUUGGCGAGAGACCGAUAGCGAACAAGUACCGUGAGGGAAAGAUGAAAAGAACUUUGAAAAGAGAGUUAAACAGUACGUGAAAUUGUCAAAAGGGAAGCGUUUGACACCAGUGUUGUUUUUUCCGAAAAUCAAUUACGAAUGUUUUGUUUUUGAGGAGUUAUGACUUCAUCGGCUUGCUCCUUUCUUUAUGAAACUUUCUUAAUGCACUUUUCGGUUAACAAGUCAACAUCAAUUUCUUUUGUUGUAAAAGGGUAUGAGGAAGGUGGCUUUCUUUUCGGAGAAAGUGUUUAUAGCCUUUUACCUCUGCAAUCGGAGAGAUUGAGGUACAUGCAGCGUAGACUCCUUCGGGGGUUAGAUACACUUUGUGCUAAGUUAUAGCUUGUCAUAGACAACUUGUUGACUAUGUUCAGUCAUUGUAGCUUACUCGCUGAUGCUAUUUUACCUACGCUUAGGAUGUUGAUCUGUAGUGCGUGCGC
Molecule: ribosomal RNA, 782 nt
Filed under: uncultured Neocallimastigales
Lineage: Eukaryota; Fungi; Neocallimastigomycota; Neocallimastigomycetes; Neocallimastigales
Description: partial large subunit ribosomal RNA
Rfam family: Eukaryotic large subunit ribosomal RNA
Source: RNAcentral